Molecule: transfer RNA, 73 nt
Filed under: Felis catus (domestic cat)
Lineage: Eukaryota; Metazoa; Chordata; Mammalia; Carnivora; Felidae
Rfam family: tRNA
About the family: Transfer RNA (tRNA) molecules are approximately 80 nucleotides in length.
Source: Rfam by way of RNAcentral
ACCUGGUUGGCUCAGUCGGUAGAGCAUGUGACUCUUGAUCUCAGGGUCAUGAGUUCAAGCCCCACGUUAGAUA